RNAcentral lists this ribosomal RNA (762 nucleotides) under uncultured Prevotella sp. Its description in RNAcentral is "bacterial SSU rRNA". It matches the Rfam family "Bacterial small subunit ribosomal RNA", at positions 28 to 776 of the family's 1533-position model. Lineage: Bacteria; Pseudomonadati; Bacteroidota; Bacteroidia; Bacteroidales; Prevotellaceae. The record is from RNAcentral.
GAUGAACGCUGGCUACAGGCUUAACACAUGCAAGUCGAGGGGAAACGACGGGGAAGCUUGCUUCCCCGGGCGUCGACCGGCGCACGGGUGAGUAACGCGUAUCCAACCUGCCUCUGACUGAGGGAUAACCCGUCGAAAGUCGGCCUAAUACCUCAUGGCAUCGUCUGCGGGCAUCCAACGACGAUUAAAGAUUUCAUCGGUCAGGGAUGGGGAUGCGUCUGAUUAGCUUGUUGGCGGGGUAACGGCCCACCAAGGCUACGAUCAGUAGGGGUUCUGAGAGGAAGGUCCCCCACAUUGGAACUGAGACACGGUCCAAACUCCUACGGGAGGCAGCAGUGAGGAAUAUUGGUCAAUGGGCGAGAGCCUGAACCAGCCAAGUAGCGUGCAGGAUGACGGCCCUAUGGGUUGUAAACUGCUUUUAUGCGGGGAUAAAGUGAGGGACGUGUCCUUCAUUGCGGGUACCGCAUGAAUAAGGACCGGCUAAUUCCGUGCCAGCAGCCGCGGUAAUACGGAAGGUCCGGGCGUUAUCCGGAUUUAUUGGGUUUAAAGGGAGCGUAGGCCGUGGAUUAAGCGUGUUGUGAAAUGCAGGUGCUCAACGUCUGCACUGCAGCGCGAACUGGUCCACUUGAGUGUGCACAACGCAGGCGGAAAUUCGUCGUGUAGCGGUGAAAUGCUUAGAUAUGACGAAGAACUCCCGAUUGCGAAGGCAGCUUGCGGGAGCACAACUGACGCUGAAGCUCGAAAGUGCGGGUAUCGAACAGG